AAAGAAAUUUCUUCACCAUCUACCACACUGCGAGGAGUAAUGAGCCAAAUUCUGAUUUCACUUCCACCCAUGUAAGCCCUGAGCUGGCAAAGGAGACUCCUCAGGAUUUACAAGCUGGUAAAAUGAGCUCAGGAUACGGCCCAGUAUACUGCAUGAGUUACCUUUUGCUGUUAGUCCUUGGGCAUAGACAUGUGAAGUACCAAACAAGCUGGUAGAAUAUGACCUGACAAUUCAGCAGGGUGUCAUUGGAUGUCUGAGACAACCACAUCAGGCUGGCAGAUAUGACCUGCCUCUUCUGAAGAUAAAGCUGGAGGCCAGCCAGGAAACUGUAAAGCAGCUACCAUGGCACUAGGCAUCAAUAGUUAGUCAGCUGAACUGAGCCUGAGGCGUCCAAGUUCUCGCUGUAUUUAGCAGAGAUCUACUCGGUACAGUCACCAGAGUCUGGAGGGUGAUUCAAGUUGCCUUACGAUAGACAGCUAGUGGCUAAGCAGCCAAGUUGCUCACUAGAUUUCGAUGAGUGCAUUAACUAGAUCUCCACUAACUCUAAUGUGAGUCUAGAUACCUAGCUUGCGUGUAGAUGGGUAUACGUGGGCACAUGGAGUGUCCUAAUCUCAAAUGGAUUCCUAAGCCUAGGGCUCAACACAGCUGCCUAAACAUUUAGUGUUGUUUCAGACAACCAAGACAUCUAACCACUUUUCAAGGAAAGUAAGGGUCUACUGUACAUUCUGCAUUACAAUUCUGAUUGUUAAGGGAUGUUUUAGACAUGUUUUGGCAUAUCAUCUGUCACUAAGAGGAUAAAUUCAGACAACUGAAUUAGAGUCCGUAACUCCUUCCCUUCCUUCCAUAAAGCCUUCAGCAUGUGCCCCUGCAUUCCAGAUUGCAACGACCCCAGCCUCUAAUAAGAGCUAAGCAUGCUUAAGGUAAUAUUGUAUGCAGAAAUGGACAAUUAAUUAACCAACUGCACAUCCAGUCUGGAUGUUGGGAAAACUCAACUCACUGGAGCCUUUAGCCAACGGCAGUCUCCAUCCUCCCUGUCUCAUCAUCCAUCACCACACUCAUUUAGUGCCUUUUUAAAUCUUUCCUGCCCAUGACUGCAUUUACAAAAUAGAUUAUCAGGGGCAACCAACCUCAGACUGCCCAGAAGAGGGUCAGAUUAAUAACUGGGAGGGGGUGCUCCCAAACUGUCAAGGGCAAUCAGAAUUAAUGCUUGACAGGAAAUAAAACCAAGCAGAUGAAAGCCAAGAAACUGGGGACUUCCCUAAGGGAUGAUGAAAA
Anas platyrhynchos (mallard) is the source of this 1275-nucleotide long non-coding RNA. RefSeq lists it as uncharacterized. NCBI's taxonomy places the organism in Eukaryota, Metazoa, Chordata, Aves, Anseriformes, Anatidae. The record is from RefSeq and is a predicted model, not a curated record.